GCGGGAAUAGCUCAGUUGGUAGAGCACGACCUUGCCAAGGUCGGGGUCGCGAGUUCGAGUCUCGUUUUCCCGCUCCA
This 77-nucleotide transfer RNA is filed under the name Klebsiella pneumoniae. Its description in RNAcentral is "tRNA-Gly". It matches the Rfam family "tRNA". Rfam says of the family: Transfer RNA (tRNA) molecules are approximately 80 nucleotides in length. Their secondary structure includes four short double-helical elements and three loops (D, anti-codon, and T loops). Lineage: Bacteria; Pseudomonadati; Pseudomonadota; Gammaproteobacteria; Enterobacterales; Enterobacteriaceae. RNAcentral also lists the same sequence under 3 other names. The record is from RNAcentral.